AUUCAGCUGACGAGUCCCAAAUAAGGAGAAACAAGCGUCCUGGAU
This 45-nucleotide non-coding RNA is filed under the name Schistosoma curassoni. The record is from RNAcentral. Lineage: Eukaryota; Metazoa; Platyhelminthes; Trematoda; Strigeidida; Schistosomatidae.